UACGUAGGGUGCAAGCGUUAAUCGGAAUUACUGGGCGUAAAGCGUGCGCAGGCGGUUUUGUAAGACAGGCGUGAAAUCCCCGGGCUUAACCUGGGAAUUGCGUUUGUGACUGCAAAGCUAGAGUUUGGCAGAGGAGGGUGGAAUUCCAUGUGUAGCAGUGAAAUGCGUAGAUAUAUGGAGGAACACCAAUGGCGAAGGCAGCCCUCUGGGUCAAUACUGACGCUCAUGUACGAAAGCGUGGGGAGCAAACAGG
This 253-nucleotide ribosomal RNA is filed under the name uncultured bacterium. RNAcentral describes it as "partial 16S ribosomal RNA". It matches the Rfam family "Bacterial small subunit ribosomal RNA", at positions 524 to 776 of the family's 1533-position model. The record is from RNAcentral.